RNAcentral lists this ribosomal RNA (515 nucleotides) under Rheinheimera sp. KIN35. Its description in RNAcentral is "bacterial SSU rRNA". It matches the Rfam family "Bacterial small subunit ribosomal RNA", at positions 130 to 640 of the family's 1533-position model. Lineage: Bacteria; Pseudomonadati; Pseudomonadota; Gammaproteobacteria; Chromatiales; Chromatiaceae. The record is from RNAcentral.
CCGAUAGAGGGGGAUACCAGUUGGAAACGACUGUUAAUACCGCAUAAUGUCUACGGACCAAAGUGUGGGACCUUCGGGCCACAUGCUAUCGGAUGUGCCUACGUGGGAUUAGCUAGUUGGUGAGGUAAUGGCUCACCAAGGCGACGAUCCCUAGCUGGUUUGAGAGGAUGAUCAGCCACACUGGAACUGAGACACGGUCCAGACUCCUACGGGAGGCAGCAGUGGGGAAUAUUGGACAAUGGGCGCAAGCCUGAUCCAGCCAUGCCGCGUGUGUGAAGAAGGCCUUCGGGUUGUAAAGCACUUUCAGUAAGGAGGAAGCGUUGAGUGUUAAUAGUACUCAGCGUUGACGUUACUUACAGAAGAAGCACCGGCUAACUCUGUGCCAGCAGCCGCGGUAAUACAGAGGGUGCAAGCGUUAAUCGGAAUUACUGGGCGUAAAGCGCACGUAGGCGGUUUUUUAAGUCAGAUGUGAAAGCCCCGGGCUCAACCUGGGAAUUGCAUUUGAAACUGGAAAA